GUCCACGCCAUAAACGAUGGAUACUUGUUGUUGGAGGUAUUGACCCCUUCAGUGACGAAGCUAACGCGUUAAGUAUCCCGCCUGGGGAGUACGGUCGCAAGAUUAAAACUCAAAGAAAUUGACGGGGGCCCGCACAAGCGGUGGAGCAUGUGGUUUAAUUCGAUGCAACGCGAAGAACCUUACCUAGGCUUGACAUGUACCGGAAGAGUGGCGGAAACGUCCUCGCUCGCAAGGGUCGGUACACAGGUGCUGCAUGGCUGUCGU
This 264-nucleotide ribosomal RNA is filed under the name uncultured bacterium. RNAcentral describes it as "partial 16S ribosomal RNA". It matches the Rfam family "Bacterial small subunit ribosomal RNA", at positions 793 to 1055 of the family's 1533-position model. The record is from RNAcentral.